GAUGAACGCUGGCGGCGUGCCUAAUACAUGCAAGUCGAGCGAACAGACGAGGAGCUUGCUCCUCUGACGUUAGCGGCGGACGGGUGAGUAACACGUGGAUAACCUACCUAUAAGACUGGGAUAACUUCGGGAAACCGGAGCUAAUACCGGAUAAUAUAUUGAACCGCAUGGUUCAAUAGUGAAAGACGGUUUUGCUGUCACUUAUAGAUGGAUCCGCGCCGCAUUAGCUAGUUGGUAAGGUAACGGCUUACCAAGGCAACGAUGCGUAGCCGACCUGAGAGGGUGGUCGGCCACACUGGAACUGAGACACGGUCCAGACUCCUACGGGAGGCAGCAGUAGGGAAUCUUCCGCAAUGGGCGAAAGCCUGACGGAGCAACGCCGCGUGAGUGAUGAAGGUCUUCGGAUCGUAAAACUCUGUUAUUAGGGAAGAACAAAUGUGUAAGUAACUAUGCACGUCUUAACGGUACCUAAUCAGAAAGCCACGGCUAACUACGUG
This 497-nucleotide ribosomal RNA is filed under the name uncultured bacterium. RNAcentral's name for it is "partial 16S ribosomal RNA". It matches the Rfam family "Bacterial small subunit ribosomal RNA", at positions 28 to 507 of the family's 1533-position model. The record is from RNAcentral.